UCUGCAUUUACAGCUCCACCUACAUCUUCCCAGCAAUUAAAGCCUUCUCCUCCAGCAUUCAAGUCGACUACACAUUCGAGAGGAGAUCGGAGUUCAAGAAGCCAUUCCUCUACUUCAGCUUAAAAGCGUUUGAGGGCUUCUAAACUCCUCUUUUGAUUAUAUUGUUUUACAUCUGCUUUUGAGAAGCUUAUUUUCCUUUCUUUCUAUAACUUAUAUUUACUUGGUUCAAUCGGGGGAUUGAAUCAAGGGGACUAACGUUGGUUGGUGAGCCAAGUUAAAAACCAACGUGUGUAAGGGUUUGAUUGUGAGCCCGGAAAAACAAUCGGGGUUGGUUCUAGUCGGUGAGCCUGGGAAAACCGACCGAGUUCGUUGUGAGCUCGUAAAACAACAAGUUUGGUUGUGAGCUUGCAAAACAACCGGCUGUAAUCCAAGGGGGUUAUAGUGAAUUCCCAAGAGAGACUUGGGGAGUGGACGUAGGAGCAAGGGGUAGCUCCGAACCACUAUAAAACUCUGUGUUUGCAUUGGAUUGUCUCUCUUCUUUUUUCCCUCACAUCACUCACAGCACUUAGCAUUAAUUAAAUAACUUGCAAUAGUUUUUAAUUAAUCAACCACAUCGUUUUAAUUAUCUAAAUUAUUUU
RNAcentral lists this long non-coding RNA (638 nucleotides) under Phoenix dactylifera (date palm). RNAcentral describes it as "long non-coding RNA (PDAC_LNC020193)". The record is from RNAcentral. Lineage: Eukaryota; Viridiplantae; Streptophyta; Magnoliopsida; Arecales; Arecaceae.